Molecule: ribosomal RNA, 253 nt
Filed under: uncultured bacterium
Lineage: Bacteria
Description: partial 16S ribosomal RNA
Rfam family: Bacterial small subunit ribosomal RNA
Source: RNAcentral
UACGUAGGGAGCAAGCGUUGUCCGGAAUCAUUGGGCGUAAAGCGCGCGUAGGUGGCUUCGUAAGUCCGUUGUGAAAGUCAAAGGCUCAACCUUUGAAAGCCGAUGGAUACUGCGGAGCUAGAGUACGGAAGAGGCGAGUGGAAUUCCUGGUGUAGCGGUGGAAUGCGCAGAUAUCAGGAGGAACACCGGUGGCGAAGGCGGGUCUCUGGGCCGAUACUGACGCUGAGGAGCGAAAGCGUGGGGAGCAAACAGG